GGCUCAAUGAUUGUUGCCAAUCACAUUUGGUCAUAUAUGCUAUUCUGAUUUCUAUUGGUGAACGAAUUUAUGAGAGCU
Molecule: small nucleolar RNA, 78 nt
Filed under: Oryza glumipatula
Lineage: Eukaryota; Viridiplantae; Streptophyta; Magnoliopsida; Poales; Poaceae
Description: snoRNA U54
Rfam family: Small nucleolar RNA U54
About the family: U54 is a C/D box small nucleolar RNA, which acts as a methylation guide for 18S ribosomal RNA in plants.
Source: Rfam by way of RNAcentral